AAACUAGCUGUUUUGUGUUUUGAAAACACAAAUGAGAUUUAGAUCUCUAGUUUG
Molecule: transfer RNA, 54 nt
Filed under: Ophidascaris baylisi
Lineage: Eukaryota; Metazoa; Nematoda; Chromadorea; Rhabditida; Anisakidae
Description: tRNA-Ser
Source: RNAcentral